This 1897-nucleotide long non-coding RNA is filed under the name Limulus polyphemus (Atlantic horseshoe crab). RNAcentral describes it as "uncharacterized LOC111088191". The record is from RNAcentral. Lineage: Eukaryota; Metazoa; Arthropoda; Merostomata; Xiphosura; Limulidae.
CACUGUCUACAUAAAUCACUAGGUUCAGUAUUUUGUAGAUCAUCAGCAUAUACAAUGUCUACUACAACACUGUCUACAUAAAUCAUUAGGUUCAGUAUCUUGUAGAUCAUCAGCAUAUACAAUAUCUACUACAACACUGUCUACAUAAAUCAUUAGGUUCAGUAUCUUGUAGAUCAUCAGCAUAUACAAUGUCUACUACAACACUGUCUACAUGAAUCAUUAGGUUCACUAUUUUGAAGAUCAUCAGCAUAUAUAAUGUCUACUACAACACUGUCUACAUAAAUCAUUAGGUUCAGCAUCUUGUAGAUCAUCAACAUAUACAAUAUCUACUACAACACUGUCUACAUGAAUCAUUAGGUUCAGUAUCUUGUAGAUCAUCAGCAUAUACAAUGUCUACUACAACACUGUCUACAUAAAUCACUAGGUUCAGUAUUUUGUAGAUCAUCAGCAUAUACAGUGUCUACUACAACACUGUCUACAUGAAUCACUAGGUUCAGUAUCUUGUAGAUCAUCAGUAUAUACAGUGUCUGCUAACUAGGAAACUACAUUAUUAACAACAUUACAAAAAGAUUGUUAAGUGUGCUUGAUAAAGUUAUGUUUUUAAUAGAUCAAUUUGCAGAAUAAACGUUUUCUUUGUUUGAUUCUUCACUUUGUUAUACAUGUUCAUUAUGUAAAAAAGUUUUAUUUCACAAUGUGGGUUGUGUCAUUUGUUAUUGGUUGAACUCUGAGUUUUACUUUCUUUUAUAGGGAUCAUUAGUUUCGUCAUUAGUCUCUGGAUCUUAGAAUGAAUGGAAUAUAGAAGCAACGUUUAUAGGAGCUUGCACUUGGAUCAGAAGAAAACUUGUAUAUUUUUUUCUCUGUCAUGAAAAGCUGAAGUUACAUAAACCUUUCUGGUUUGCACUUGCUACAGUUGAACUUCAAACACUAAUUCAGCAAAAUUUAGAUAUCAAAUGAUAAUAUGUACUUAUACUUUCUGAAGUGAAAAUUCAGUUCCUCAUCAUCAUCAAUAAAAUCUCACCAGUAGAAUUUCUUAGCUUUUAUUUCCAGACAGUUUGUUGGUCAGUAUAUGGCAUCAACCUGAAACCUUGAAAUUUCUUUGUAUAUCUAAAGAGAAUCCUUUCAAGAAAUGUGAGUGGAAAAUAAACCCAUCCAUGUCAUCAGUUAUUUAAGUUAUUUGUUUUAUUGUCUAAAUUGAGUUUUAGAUGUGUGUUGCUUAACAUCCAGAGUCUCUUAAAAACAUCCCAAUGUUUAAAGAUUAUCUAGUUUCAUAUGAAAGUCAUGUUGAUUCUUAAUAAUAAUUGAACUAGAUGUAAAACUUUUCUUCCAUUCUACUGUUUUUAGAAAUAUAUAUAUUUAUUGUAUCAAUCAUAAUGUUAUUGAAGAUGUAAAGAGUAAAAUGUAAGACAAAGAAAUAUCUUUCUUCAGCCCAGCUUGGCUGACAGUUGGUUAUGUAGUAAGUAUAACUGGUGUGUACAUCCACACUUCUUACGUGAAGGGUUAAACGCGUCCAUCUUUCUUCAGCCCAGCUUGGCUGACAGUAAGUUCUGUUGGUAAGUUUAACUGGUGUGUACAUUCACACUUGAUAAGAGAAGUGUUAAACAUGUCCAAUUUUCCUGUUAGGUUUAGAUUAUUAGUUGUUCUAAGCUUUUACUUGCUAUGUUGGUUGGAAAUUGAAUAAUUCUUUAAACAGGAUUUAAAAUUGUUGUUUGUUUCAAUAAACUGAGAUUGUUGUUUAAUAUUAAAAUAAAUGGUACAAGAUCUGAAUUAAACUUAUGAAUGUUGUAUGUGUGCAGUUAUCAUAUAGAAACUUUUGUUAAGAAGACUAACCAUGGUGUGAUAUCCGAUUUUUGUAGUUGUUUUUUUAUGAAAUAAAGAAACAAACUAUUGUUCUAACGUA